AUGAUCCCGAUUGCACGUAGGGAUGAAGAAAUGGCUCCUUACAUCCCAGAAUCGAAAAGGAACUAUGUAUUUGGUGGGAUUUCUAGUGUUGCUGCUAAUGCAUCAAUAAAGGCACUCGCACUAAUGAAGUCCAUCAACCUGUUGGGAGUUCAACAAAUAUGCAGAAACUCGAUAGCACUAGAACAGGCACUUGCAGCCAUACCUUCCAUUGAUAGUGAGGCAGUCCAACAGAGAUUAGAUCGUGUUCGGACAUUCUAUGAGCUACUAAACCUGCCUUUCGAGUCUUUGCUUGGGUUCGUUGCUGAACAGGAAUAUAUUUUUUCUGCAAAAGAAUACUUGAGCAUACUAAAGGUCAAUGUACCUGGUAGAGAGAUACCAAUGGAUGCUGAACGCCGUAUCUCACAGAUUUUGAGUCAUUAA
Molecule: ribosomal RNA, 420 nt
Filed under: Triticum aestivum (bread wheat)
Lineage: Eukaryota; Viridiplantae; Streptophyta; Magnoliopsida; Poales; Poaceae
Description: partial small subunit ribosomal RNA
Source: RNAcentral